UGUUGUCUUCGGGCAACCAGCCAAUGCCUCAGCACUCCGUGAGAGGCGCCUUCGGGUGAGUGCCAGCCAAUGUUUCAUGUGACCUGUGAGAAACGCCUUCGGGUGGUCAUGAAUAGCCUCGUAGCCUGAAAGAGGAAGCCCAUGUGGCGGUAACGUC
RNAcentral lists this small RNA (157 nucleotides) under Serratia marcescens. RNAcentral describes it as "STAXI RNA". It matches the Rfam family "STAXI RNA". Lineage: Bacteria; Pseudomonadati; Pseudomonadota; Gammaproteobacteria; Enterobacterales; Yersiniaceae. The record is from RNAcentral.